Molecule: long non-coding RNA, 2415 nt
Filed under: Nicotiana tabacum (common tobacco)
Lineage: Eukaryota; Viridiplantae; Streptophyta; Magnoliopsida; Solanales; Solanaceae
Description: long non-coding RNA (NTAB_LNC007541)
Source: RNAcentral
CACCCCCUCUUGUCAUUGUCUUCUUCCACGCCAACCACCCCAAAGGACCCAUCGUUUCUUCUUCUUCUGAAUCAGAGAAUCAAGACCUCCAUUAGAAAACACCAUCGAAGACCUCUUGAUCUUCAGCUUCUUCUGCAGCAGCACAAACCAAAAGCAAUGACCCCUAAGUUGUUCCUCUUCUGUCUCGAAGCAGCAGGACCUGCAACCUUCCAACGAUCCCUCCCCACCAUGAACUGAUCUUCCUCAGUCGCUGAACACCCAGAAACACCUCCUCCAUCGACGCUCCUCUUCUUCAACUUCAUAGAGUCCAUUUUGAAGUCCGUUCGUUGAGUUGUUCGGGGUCGAGCGCUAGAGACGUUUGAGGUCGUCGGGUCCCUGUUCCGUUUGUGGUCAUUUUCUGGUGCAUUUCUGGUCCCUUACUCUAUUUUGGUGUGGUUAAAAGUAUAAUAAGAGUAGUAGAGGUUGAAUUCCGGGAACUGAGUUGGUAGUUGUAAGAGAUUUUGUGUUUUUGCUUAUCGUGUGAUGCACUAUUCUGUCGAAGGGUGUUCUAAAUUUGGUGUUUGUCGAUUUUUCUAUAGAAUUUGCUAGUGUUCAAGUUGUCGCAAAUCUGUUAACCAUGAAAUUCACAUCUCUGAUUCGUUGAAAUGUUUGAGCUGCUGCAGUUUUGUCUCAAAUUCUCGAUUACUGUCAAUAUGUGUCCAAUUUCCCUUUGUGAUUUUGUUUUGUUUCAUUUUUCAGUCAUUCUUUGGCUUGUUACGAGUAGAGUUUGGAUGCGGAACUUAUUGUCUGUUCGUUAAUAUGGAGCUACUGGAAAUAUUUUCUUUUGGAGUUGUUGAUCUUUUGUAUUUAGUUGUAAAUUUGGUUAAUUUGAGUAGUUUUAGAUUGUUAAGCAAAUACUAAGCUAAGAAUAGAAGGAAUUGUUUCACGAGUUAAUUUUGAACAUUGAAGCAAAAAAAUGAAACUUCAGGAACGGUGGUGGACUGAUGUAAUUAUGUGCUGGGAUACUACUUAUAUUUAUUUUAUGAAAGUUAGUUUGAGCUUUAUCCUUUGUUAAAGGUUUCCAAAAACAAUCAGAUUCUAAUUUUAAAGAAGUUGAUUUUGGGUUUAAAAUUGCGAAGUGGCCAGUAUCAUAUUUAGUUCGAUCCUUUGUUAUUCUAGUAGUCUUUGUCUUAUUUCGUGCGUCUUGGAUGUUUACAUGUCUCGAUAUCUCAUUUGUGGUGAUCGGUAUAUUUUUGUUUUGAAUGACCGUGGGAUCAUGGGGAGUGAUAGAAAGGCCAAAGCCCUUUAGCAAUUAAUUUAUUCCAUAUUUUAGGUAUCGGGCUCGGCCGGAUAGGAGAAGGGUUUAAAAGGGAAUGUUCAUGAAAUCUCGUUUAGUAAAAGUAUUCCAUAACUCAUGGCCCUCACGAGUGUUAUAAUUUAGAUAUUAAAAAUGAACUUCGUAGUUUGCUUUAGGCGCGGUAGUUAUAUAAUUAUCAUGGCUUUUGUUAAAAUCCGUGGGUGUAUUUCAUGUGACCCGGUUCUAAUUUCCAACAAGGUUAAAUAGAGCGUGUCAUGAACUACGGGUGCAUUUCAUGUGACGUGGCUUGCGAUAUGUUUUAAAUAACCUUGAAUUAAUUCCUUAAAUAAGUAAAAGCAGUUUUCAAAAGUUAAAAGGCACAUAGGUUUAAGAGUAUUUUAAAAUCAAGUAAAUAGGCCAAUAAUAACAGUUGAGCGACCGCGCUAAAAUCACGGAACUCAGGAAUGCCUAACAUCUUCUCCCGGGUUAACAAAAUUCCUUACCCAAAUUUCUGUGUGCGCGGACUGAAAAAUAGAGUCAAUCUUUCCUUGAUUCGGGAUUUAAAACCGGUGACUUGGGACACCAUAAAUUAUCCCAAGUGGCGACUCUGAUUUUUAAAUAAUAAUCCCGUUUUGAUUGUCACUUUAAGUUGGAAAAAACUCCCUUGUACCCUUCCGGAGGGUAGGAAAAAGGAGGUAUGACAAAACUAACAUUCUUUCUGAGAGUAAAGAACAAGAUGAUGAAGCAAUUGGGUUGGUAAGAAACUCAAAUGAAACUACAUCCAAGCCUGAAGCUGCACCAGAGGAAGGAACUAGUGAUGGAACUUGUCCUUCCACCCAUGACAACCUGAUAGGGGGAAUUGAAUAGAGAGGAACUGAUCCUCAAACCUCGAGGGAACCUAUUCAUGAACAUGUUCCUCAACAACUAAACAUUGAAGGAACGUCUAGGGGAAACCAGCUGGUUGUGAAACCUUACAAGUAUCAAAGUUAUCAUCCCAUUAGGAACAUAAUCACUUAUCCAACCUCUGGAAUCAAAACCAGAUCUUCUUUGAAAAACCUAUGUACUUUUGAUGAUUUUUUUAUCUCUUAGUGAACAUAAAAAUAUUUUUGAGGCUUUGCAGGAUGCAGACUAGAGGAAUG